RNAcentral lists this ribosomal RNA (126 nucleotides) under Fructobacillus durionis. The record is from RNAcentral. Lineage: Bacteria; Bacillati; Bacillota; Bacilli; Lactobacillales; Lactobacillaceae.
UGUCGUGUCGAUGGCAAAGAGGAACCACCUGUUCCCAUCUCGAACACAGAAGUUAAGCUCUUUAGCGCCAAAAGUAGUUGCCGGAACGCUGGCUGCGAGGAUAGGACGAUGCGAUGCCUGUACAUA